ACUGCAGGACACAUGAACAUCGACAUUUCGAACGCACAUUGCGGUCCUCGGAUACUGUUCCUGGACCACACCUGACUGAGGGUCGUA
Molecule: ribosomal RNA, 87 nt
Filed under: Mylabris pusilla
Lineage: Eukaryota; Metazoa; Arthropoda; Insecta; Coleoptera; Meloidae
Also listed under: 1 other name
Description: partial 5.8S ribosomal RNA
Rfam family: 5.8S ribosomal RNA
About the family: 5.8S ribosomal RNA (5.8S rRNA) is a component of the large subunit of the eukaryotic ribosome. It is transcribed by RNA polymerase I as part of the 45S precursor that also contains 18S and 28S rRNA. Functionally, it is thought that 5.8S rRNA may be involved in ribosome translocation.
Source: RNAcentral